Molecule: ribosomal RNA, 495 nt
Filed under: uncultured bacterium
Lineage: Bacteria
Description: partial 16S ribosomal RNA
Rfam family: Bacterial small subunit ribosomal RNA
Source: RNAcentral
GACGAACGCUGGCGGCGUGCCUAAUACAUGCAAGUAGAACGCUGAAGGAGGAGCUUGCUUCUCUGGAUGAGUUGCGAACGGGUGAGUAACGCGUAGGUAACCUGCCUGGUAGCGGGGGAUAACUAUUGGAAACGAUAGCUAAUACCGCAUAAGAGUAGAUGUUGCAUGACAUUUGCUUAAAAGGUGCAAUUGCAUCACUACCAGAUGGACCUGCGUUGUAUUAGCUAGUUGGUGGGGUAACGGCUCACCAAGGCGACGGUACAGCGCCGACCUGGGAGGGGGGGCGGCCACACUGGGGAGGGGACACGGCCCAGACGCCUACGGGAGGCAGCAGUAGGGAAUCCUCGGCGAAGGACGGAAGUCUGACCGAGCAACGCCGCGUGAGUGAAGAAGGUUGUCGGAUCGUAAAGCUCUGUUGUAAGAGAAGAACGAGUGUGAGAGUGGAAAGUUCACACUGUGACGGUAACUUACCAGAAAGGGACGGCUAACUACGUG